RNAcentral lists this unclassified non-coding RNA (391 nucleotides) under soil metagenome. RNAcentral describes it as "partial contains 5.8S ribosomal RNA, internal transcribed spacer 2, and large subunit ribosomal RNA". The stretch from base 1 to 122 matches the Rfam family "5.8S ribosomal RNA", at positions 35 to 154 of the family's 154-position model. The record is from RNAcentral.
GAUGAAGAACGCAGCGAAAUGCGAUACUUGGUGUGAAUUGCAGAAUCCCGUGAACCAUCGAGUCUUUGAACGCAAGUUGCGCCCGAAGCCAUUAGGCCGAGGGCACGCCUGCCUGGGCGUCACACGUCGUUGCCCCCCCAUCUACUCCUUCGGGAUUGCGGGGGGCGGAUGAUGGCCUCCCGUGCGCCUCGUCGCGCGGUUGGCAUAAAUGCCAAGUCCUCGGCGACGCACGCCACGACAAUCGGUGGUUGCGAAACCUCGGUUGCCCGUCGCGUGCGGUCGUCGCGCAUCGAGGGCUCGAAAAAAUUGCCGGGCUCCGGCUCGGCUUUCAACGCGACCCCAGGUCAGGCGGGGUUACCCGCUGAAUUUAAGCAUAUCAAUAAGCGGAGGA